This 241-nucleotide ribosomal RNA is filed under the name uncultured Actinomycetales bacterium. Its description in RNAcentral is "partial 16S ribosomal RNA". It matches the Rfam family "Bacterial small subunit ribosomal RNA", at positions 89 to 334 of the family's 1533-position model. Lineage: Bacteria; Bacillati; Actinomycetota; Actinomycetes; Actinomycetales. The record is from RNAcentral.
ACUCGAGUGGCGAACGGGUGAGUAACACGUGGGUGAUCUGCCCUGCACUUCGGGAUAAGCCUGGGAAACUGGGUCUAAUACCGGAUAGGACCAUGCUUUAGUGUGUGUGGUGGAAAGUUUUUCGGUGUAGGAUGAGCCCGCGGCCUAUCAGCUUGUUGGUGGGGUAAUGGCCUACCAAGGCGGCGACGGGUAGCCGGACUGAGAGGUUGGUCGGCCACAUUGGGGCUGAGAUACGGCCCAG